GCAGAUUAUGAUAAAUAUAAAAUGAUAAACUACUUGUAAUAAAAUAUUGUUUAUUGUAAACUUGUAUGUGUGUGUUUGCCUUUCAGAGCUGCCAAAGCACAUGCUCCUCUUGGAUGUGAAGACGAGAUGGAACUCCCUGUUUUUGAUGAUGGAAAGAUUCUGUGAGCAGUUUUCUGCCAUCCAAGCUGCAGCUAUAGAUCCACGGCUAAGAAAGCCCAUGCAAAAGGAUAAACUGGCCAUAAUGGCCAACGAGGACUUAAGGAAAGCAGACGAGUUUGUGCUGCUGAUGCGGAAGCAUUACACAUCCACACUUGCUGUCUCCAGUGACAAAAGUCCAACCUGUAGCCAGAUACUGCCUAUCCUCCAGAAGUUGCAGAAACAUUACACAGUGCAGGCAGAUGAACAUUUGGAACGAUCUUUCAAAACGUUACCAGGUACAGUGAGUGACUGACAUUUAUUAGUCUAUUAUUAAUAAUAAUGACAGUUAAUCAUAUACACUAAAUUAAAUUCAUAUUCAGUAACAUUUACCCCUAAUUUUGUGUUGUCUGUCCAUCUCUUUAAACUUAAGGAUGCUGAUGUCAAGGCAUUCCUGGAGGAGGCCACUGUGUUAGACCCCAGAUUCAAAUCCAAACUGGAUAGGGAUGAGAUCUGGGACAGGGUCAGGGAAGCAGCAGUGGCAGCAAACUCAGAGGCAGCUGCAGAUGAGCUGUCAGAGCAAGGAGAGACACAGAGGCAGGGGGAUGAAGAGGAGGA
Long non-coding RNA from Platichthys flesus (European flounder), 753 nucleotides. RefSeq lists it as uncharacterized. NCBI's taxonomy places the organism in Eukaryota, Metazoa, Chordata, Actinopteri, Pleuronectiformes, Pleuronectidae. The record is from RefSeq and is a predicted model, not a curated record. The transcript has 3 exons.